UACAGAGGGUGCGAGCGUUGUCCGGAAUCACUGGGCGUAAAGGGCGCGUAGGUGGUGGCUUAAGCGUGCGGUGAAAGCUCGGGGCUCAACCCCGAGUCGGCCGUGCGAACUGGGCUCACUGGAGCAUAGUAGAGGCAGGUGGAAUUCCGGGUGUAGCGGUGGAAUGCGUAGAGAUCCGGAAGAACACCGGUGGCGAAGGCGACACACUGGCCCGUUACUGACGCUGAGGCGCGAAAGCGUGGGGAGCAAACAGG
Molecule: ribosomal RNA, 254 nt
Filed under: uncultured bacterium
Lineage: Bacteria
Description: partial 16S ribosomal RNA
Rfam family: Bacterial small subunit ribosomal RNA
Source: RNAcentral